Spea bombifrons (plains spadefoot toad) is the source of this 406-nucleotide long non-coding RNA. RefSeq lists it as uncharacterized. NCBI's taxonomy places the organism in Eukaryota, Metazoa, Chordata, Amphibia, Anura, Pelobatidae. The transcript is spliced from 3 exons. The record is from RefSeq and is a predicted model, not a curated record.
UGGCGCCCCCUCGCCGUUCCUCUGUAGCCAGUCUAGCUUCUGUACUCUCGGUUAACUUCAGCCGCCGCUCUAUGGUCGCAUCCUCCGAAGCUCUAUGGUUUAUAACGGGAAGCGAACAGGAUGUGAUGGGGGAGUUCGCGGAGCCCUGAGUGCCUGGCAGGAAGUGAGUGGGGGGUAAUUGGAUGCAAAUGCAGCCCUGCUGCAGGAACAGAGACUUGUCUGUGCGGGAAACUCUCUCCCAAAAGCCCUUCUGAAGCCUUUGAGUCGUACGUGAUGGAAGGAAGCAGGACAACUACCGGAUGAGACUCGUAGGAGCCCCGGGGCCUGAUGGAUAACCGCUGGACGGGAGUUUUGUUGGCGUGAACAUCGGGAUGAUUUGAUUCGCCUCUCGACCUCAGACUUUUUU